CCACGCCCUAAACGAUGUCUACUAGUUGUCGGGUUUUAAUUAACUUGGUAACGCAGCUAACGCGUGAAGUAGACCGCCUGGGGAGUACGGUCGCAAGAUUAAAACUCAAAGGAAUUGACGGGGACCCGCACAAGCGGUGGAUGAUGUGGAUUAAUUCGAUGCAACGCGAAAAACCUUACCUACCCUUGACAUGUCAGGAAGGCCGGAGAGAUCUGGCUGUGCCCGAAAGGGAACCUGAACACAGGUGCUGCAUGGCUGU
This 259-nucleotide ribosomal RNA is filed under the name uncultured bacterium. RNAcentral's name for it is "partial 16S ribosomal RNA". It matches the Rfam family "Bacterial small subunit ribosomal RNA", at positions 795 to 1052 of the family's 1533-position model. The record is from RNAcentral.